AAAGUCGUAACAAGGUCUCCGUUGGUGAACCAGCGGAGGGAUCAUUAGAGAGUUGCAAGACUCCCACACCAUUGCGAACGCACCCCCCGUCCUUGUCGUUGCCUCGGCGGGGGUGGCCCCCCGCGGGCCGCCUCCGCCGCCGGCACGAGAACCUCUGUUUUUUUGUGGCCUCUCUGAGUACCAUACACAAAUAAGUCAAAACUUUCAACAACGGAUCUCUUGGUUCUG
Molecule: unclassified non-coding RNA, 228 nt
Filed under: Ascomycota sp.
Lineage: Eukaryota; Fungi; Ascomycota
Description: partial contains small subunit ribosomal RNA, internal transcribed spacer 1, and 5.8S ribosomal RNA
Rfam family: Eukaryotic small subunit ribosomal RNA (bases 1-47)
Source: RNAcentral